AUACAGUGGUGUGAACAUCUUCUCAACAAGUUUUUGUAUCUCUCCCAAGCUUCAUAAAGUGAUUCUCCUUCUGCUGCACGAAAGAUGUGAUUUCUCCUCUCAGCUU
This is a small nucleolar RNA of Abrus precatorius (Indian licorice), 106 nucleotides long. Lineage: Eukaryota; Viridiplantae; Streptophyta; Magnoliopsida; Fabales; Fabaceae. The record is from RefSeq and is a predicted model, not a curated record.